This is a long non-coding RNA of Neopelma chrysocephalum (saffron-crested tyrant-manakin), 151 nucleotides long. RefSeq lists it as uncharacterized. NCBI's taxonomy places the organism in Eukaryota, Metazoa, Chordata, Aves, Passeriformes, Pipridae. The record is from RefSeq and is a predicted model, not a curated record. The transcript has 3 exons.
UUCUACAGUCUGAUGAUCAAAUAUUAAUACAUUGCCUUUUUUUACAAAUCGCAUUUAACUGAAAGCCUAAGUGAUCUAUAGGAAUUCUUUUCACCUAUAUAUCUUACUUUAUACUUAUUAAAAGAAUCUGUAUUUUUCAGCUGAAACAACU